This is a long non-coding RNA of Amphimedon queenslandica, 181 nucleotides long. RefSeq lists it as uncharacterized. The transcript is spliced from 2 exons. NCBI's taxonomy places the organism in Eukaryota, Metazoa, Porifera, Demospongiae, Haplosclerida, Niphatidae. The record is from RefSeq and is a predicted model, not a curated record.
AGCGAAUUUCUUCUUGCUACCAGUCAUCGAGUCAUUGGUUUCCCGCUACCGCCAUGGGAUGGAUGUAGCUGCUUGUAACCAAGCUUCUUGGAGUAGCUCCAUAACUUGAUGGAGUCUACUGUAUCUCUCGGCAUGAUUCAAUAACAAUGACUCUCUCUCUGGCGAUAUCUAAAAACAUCAA